CCUACGGGGCGCAGCAGUGAGGAAUAUUGGUCAAUGGGCGGGAGCCUGAACCAGCCAAGUCGCGUGAGGGACGACGGUCCUAUGGAUUGUAAACCUCUUUUGUCGGGGAACAAAGGCGCCCACGGGUGGGCGGAUGAGUGUACCCGAAGAAAAAGCAUCGGCUAACUACGGGCCAGCAGCGGCGGUAAUACGGAGGAGGCGAGCGUUAUCCGGAUUUGUUGGGUUUAAAGGGUGCGUAGGCGGACAGUCAAGUCAGCGGUAAAAAUGCGGUGCUCAAGGCCGUCGUGCCGUUGAAACUGAUGUUCUUGAGUGGGCGAGAAGUAUGCGGAAUGCGUGGUGUAGCGGUGCAAUGCAUAGAUAUCACGCAGAACUCCGAUUGCGAAGGCAGCAUACCGGCGCCCAACUGACGCUGAAGCACGAAAGCGUGGGUAUCGAACAGGAUUAGAUACCCUUGUAGUC
RNAcentral lists this ribosomal RNA (459 nucleotides) under uncultured bacterium. RNAcentral describes it as "partial 16S ribosomal RNA". It matches the Rfam family "Bacterial small subunit ribosomal RNA", at positions 338 to 795 of the family's 1533-position model. The record is from RNAcentral.